This 419-nucleotide ribosomal RNA is filed under the name Lymnaea stagnalis (great pond snail). RNAcentral's name for it is "partial 16S ribosomal RNA". Lineage: Eukaryota; Metazoa; Mollusca; Gastropoda; Lymnaeidae. The record is from RNAcentral.
AGCUUUAAGUCUAUAUUUUAAGUAAUUUCUGCCCAGCGUAAUUUAUUAGCGGCCGCAGUACCUUGACUGUGCUAAGGUAGCAUAAUCAAUUGGCUUUUAAUUAUAGUCUGGAAUGAACGGAUUAAUAGGGAAGAACUGUCUCUUUUUAAUUUUAUUGAAAUUUUUUAUUAAGUGAAAAUACUUAUAUUUAGAUAAAAGACGAGAAGACCCUUAGAAUUUUUAUUAAAAUGUAAACUAAAACCAUAAAUUUUUGUUGGGGCGACAGUAAAUCACAUUAAACAUUUAAAAGUUUACAUGACAAUUAGAUUUAUAAGAGUAUAAUUACCUUAGGGAUAACAGCAUAAUUUCUUAUAAAGUUUGUGACCUCGAUGUUGGACUAGGAACUAAAUAACUAACCGUUAACAUCGACUGUUCUGUUC